UGUUGUCGGGGCUUGUCCUUGUCCCUGUCUUAGUAGUGAUUACGUCCUUAUCAUGGGUAGAUGGAUAAUAAUGAAAUUGCAGAGAAACGGAAGCAUUCAAAAUUUUUUUUUUCUUGCAAAAGCAUAGACAGGAUGGAUAGACUACCGUAUGCAGAGAUCUGAGUGGAGUAUGAAGAGCAGAUUUUUGGUACUGUGAAUACUCCGAAAAAGCCUGCAGUGCACACAGAUUGAGAAGGCAGCAUUGCAGUCAGUGAAAAGAUCUAUCUAGAAAGGGAAGUGAAGAAGACUGACUGACCCAAUUUGGCCAUCUUCCAGAUCGUUAUGGAGCUACCACACCUGGCCGUAACGAAGAGCAGCACUGCCAGCUGCCACCAUCGCAAUGAUUACGUUAUCAUCGUCAUCGUCAUCUCAAGAUUUAUCAGGAAAAGAAGGGAAAAAAAGAAAA
Non-coding RNA from Punica granatum (pomegranate), 445 nucleotides. The record is from RefSeq and is a predicted model, not a curated record. NCBI's taxonomy places the organism in Eukaryota, Viridiplantae, Streptophyta, Magnoliopsida, Myrtales, Lythraceae.